Molecule: ribosomal RNA, 397 nt
Filed under: uncultured bacterium
Lineage: Bacteria
Description: partial 16S ribosomal RNA
Rfam family: Bacterial small subunit ribosomal RNA
Source: RNAcentral
AUACGUAGGGGGCGAGCGUUGUCCGGAAUGAUUGGGCGUAAAGGGCGCGUAGGCGGCCCGGUAAGUCUGGAGUGAAAGUCCUGUUUUUAAGAUGGGAAUUGCUUUGGAUACUGUCGGGCUUGAGUGCAGGAGAGGUAAGUGGAAUUCCCAGUGUAGCGGUGAAAUGCGUAGAGAUUGGGAGGAACACCAGUGGCGAAGGCGACUUACUGGACUGUAACUGACGCUGAGGCGCGAAAGUGUGGGGAGCAAACAGGAUUAGAUACCCUGGUAGUCCACACUGUAAACGAUGAAUACUAGGUGUAGGGGGUAUCGACUCCCUCUGUGCCGCAGUUAACACAAUAAGUAUUCCGCCUGGGGAGUACGGCCGCAAGGUUGAAACUCAAAUGAAUUGACGGGG